AUGGACCCCACCUCACGCCCCGCCGUCGUCAUCGACAACGGCACCGGCUACACCAAGAUGGGGUUCGCCGGGAACGUGGAGCCCUGCUUCAUCACCCCCACCGCCGUCGCCGUCAACGAGUCCUUCUCCGACCAGACGAGGGCCACCGCCAAGGGGAACUGGCUGGCGCAGCACAGCGCGGGCGUCAUGGCCGAUCUCGACUUCCUCAUAGGGGAGGAGGCUUUAGCCCGGUCCCGUUCCAGCAGCACAUACAGCUUGAGCUACCCCAUUCGCAACGGCCAGGUUGACAACUGGGACACCAUGGAGAAGUUCUGGCAGCAAUGCAUUUUCAAUUACCUCAGGUGUGACCCAGAAGAUCACUAUUUCCUGCUGACCGAGAGCCCACUGACUCCUCCAGAAACCCGGGAGUACACUGGGGAGAUCAUGUUUGAGACGUUCAAUGUGCCUGGUCUGUACAUAGCGGUUCAACCCGUCCUUGCCCUAGCCGCAGGAUACACAACAACCAAGUGUGAAAUGACAGGUGUUGUGGUUGAUGUGGGUGACGGAGCUACCCACAUUGUUCCUGUUGCUGAUGGGUAUGUCAUUGGGAACAGUAUCAGUUCUAUCCCACUUACAGGCAAGGAUGUUACCCAGUUUAUUCAGCAACUUAUGAAGGAAAGAGGUGAACACAUUCCACCCGAAGAAUCUUUUGAUGUAGCAAGGAGGGCGAAGGAAAUGUACUGCUAUACAUGUUCGGACAUUGUGAAGGAAUUUAAUAAGCAUGACAGGGAGCCCUCAAAGUACAUAAAACGCUUGACUGGCAUCAAACCAAAAACGGGUGCUCCGUACACCUGUGACAUUGGAUACGAGCGCUUCCUGGGCCCUGAGAUAUUCUUCCACCCCGAGAUUUACAACAAUGACUUCACCACUCCUUUGCAAGAUGUUAUAGACAAGUGCAUCCAAUCAUCCCCAAUUGACACAAGGAGGGCUCUUUAUAAGAAUAUUGUCUUGUCUGGGGGUUCAACUAUGUUUAAGGAUUUCCACAGAAGAUUACAGCGGGACCUGAAAAAGAUUGUGGAUGUACGGGUCCGUGCAUCUAAUGCUCGACUUGGUGGAGAUGCGAAGGCUCAACCCGUGGAAGUAAACGUGGUUAGCCAUCCAAUUCAAAGAUAUGCGGUUUGGUUUGGCGGAUCGGUGCUUGCUUCUACAGCAGAAUUCUACGAGGCUUGCCACACAAAAGCAGAGUAUGAAGAGUACGGUGCAAGCAUCUGCCGAUCAAAUCCUGUUUUCAAAGGGAUGUAUUGA
RNAcentral lists this ribosomal RNA (1284 nucleotides) under Triticum aestivum (bread wheat). Its description in RNAcentral is "partial small subunit ribosomal RNA". Lineage: Eukaryota; Viridiplantae; Streptophyta; Magnoliopsida; Poales; Poaceae. The record is from RNAcentral.